UGGUUCUGGCAUCGAUGAAGAACGCAGCGAAAUGCGAUAAGUAAUGUGAAUUGCAGAAUUCAGUGAAUCAUCGAAUCUUUGAACGCACAUUGCGCCCGCCAGCAUUCUGGCGGGCAUGCCUGUUCGAGCGUCAUUUCAACCCUCGAGCCCGACUCUUCGGAGGACGGCUCGGCGUUGGGGGACGGCAGACUCCCCCCGGCAUCUCGCCGGGGACGCCGCCCCCGAAAUUUAGUGGCGGCCCUCCGAGGCGACCUCUGCGUAGUAACUUGUUCUCGCACCGGAAAGCUCAGAGCGGCCACGCCGUAAAACCCCAACUUUUUUUAGGUUGACCUCGAAUCAGGUAGGACUACCCGCUGA
RNAcentral lists this unclassified non-coding RNA (357 nucleotides) under uncultured fungus. RNAcentral's name for it is "partial contains 5.8S ribosomal RNA and internal transcribed spacer 2". The stretch from base 1 to 133 matches the Rfam family "5.8S ribosomal RNA", at positions 22 to 154 of the family's 154-position model. The record is from RNAcentral. Lineage: Eukaryota; Fungi.